GAUGAACGCUGGCGGCGUGCCUAAUACAUGCAAGUCGAGCGAACAGACGAGGAGCUUGCUCCUUUGACGUUAGCGGCGGACGGGUGAGUAACACGUGGGUAACCUACCUAUAAGACUGGGAUAACUUCGGGAAACCGGAGCUAAUACCAGAUAAUAUUUCGAACCGCAUGGUUCGAUAGUGAAAGAUGGCUUUGCUAUCACUUAUAGAUGGACCUGCGCCGUAUUAGCUAGUUGGUAAGGUAACGGCUUACCAAGGCAACGAUACGUAGCCGACCUGAGAGGGUGAUCGGCCACACUGGAACUGAGACACGGUCCAGACUCCUACGGGAGGCAGCAGUAGGGAAUCUUCCGCAACGGGCGAAAGCCUGACGGAGCAACGCCGCGUGAGUGAUGAAGGUCUUCGGAUCGUAAAACUCUGUUAUUAGGGAAGAACAAACGUGUAAGUAACUGUGCACGUCUUGACGGUACCUAAUCAGAAAGCCACGGCUAACUACGUG
Molecule: ribosomal RNA, 497 nt
Filed under: uncultured bacterium
Lineage: Bacteria
Description: partial 16S ribosomal RNA
Rfam family: Bacterial small subunit ribosomal RNA
Source: RNAcentral